Haemonchus contortus (barber pole worm) is the source of this 75-nucleotide non-coding RNA. The record is from Rfam. Lineage: Eukaryota; Metazoa; Nematoda; Chromadorea; Rhabditida; Trichostrongylidae.
GGCCUAAAUUUGAAGUGAAGUAGAUUGGUGAGAUCAGCUGAUCAUACUAAUCUACUCUACUUCAAGUUUGCGCCU